This is a long non-coding RNA of Selaginella moellendorffii, 1001 nucleotides long. RefSeq lists it as uncharacterized. The transcript has 4 exons. NCBI's taxonomy places the organism in Eukaryota, Viridiplantae, Streptophyta, Lycopodiopsida, Selaginellales, Selaginellaceae. The record is from RefSeq and is a predicted model, not a curated record.
UUGCAGCGGGCCAUAGAAAAAUGCGACCUGACAGAGGUGGUGAUGAGAGGAAUAUUUAAGUUAUUUGAGAAUGGCCUCAAUCACCACAUAUCUUCUCUGCUGCUGCUGGCUACAACAUGCAACUCUCCUUUGCGAGCUAACGAUUUCUCUCCUUUCUCUCUCGCUUGAUGGGGGCCUGGCAGCAGACUGCUACAUUACAACGGUGUAUUCUACCAACACCAAAGAUUUUUGGCAACAGAUCUUGGAUGCAUUCCAUGUGAUCGAAGCUGGUCCGUACAGAGCGCCAUAGUUUAUGGCACGAGUUUCUACGUAGAGUCGAGGAACUUCCCACUCUCUCAGGAGUUAAGUCAAUUCCUCCAUGUGGACUUUGGAGUGCGCUUGGGUGCGAAAGACACACUGCACAGCUCCCCGUUGACGGACACGGCAACGAGCAGCUCGAGUUUAAUAGCGGCGUCGCGUUCCCACUUUGUCAAACGUGGUUGGUUCGGAUGAUAGGACAGUCACCUCCAUGUGGGCGAUCAUUUGCGGAGCGAGCACCCAAGACAGAAAAACAAUCGCGGCAACUUCACCAUUAAACAACGUGAAACAUCUGUCAAGCCUCGACCAACAGAAACAAGGAAAAGGAACGAUCUCGCGUAAAAGAUGGACAAUCCGGGAGCGUUGACAACAUCUUAGCUUCCGGAAAUGGUUCCCGAGGAGGGAGGGGGAGGAGCCGCAAAUCAAACAGCUAGCUGGCUUGAAAGUUGGCGGGGUGCUGCCCGGGCAAAUCCAGAUUAUGUAAAGUUGGAGCGAGGCGAUGACGAAGAAAGGCCACCGGCCGCUGUCGAGUAGAAAAAGAGAUGCUGAGGCGGUCCGGGUUUUUUUAGCCGAUGCCUGGAUCUGUGAACGAGUUGGAGAAGAUUUUGCUGUGUCCAUGGGGUCCGUGACAUGGAGCGUCGAGAUGAUUGCGAUGCGAGCUUUUCCUGGGCCCGCAGUGAAGAAACCAAGUAAUGUUUGUUCUA